CACCAGUUGCUUCCGGGCAUUCUCAGGCAGAAGACCAAGGCAGAAACUUCACCUGCUCUCGACUCCCUNCAAGUGGCCUUUAGAGGCAUCCUGCUUGNUUCUCCAACCUGGAGGCGGUACCUGGGCAUCCAUUCUAGUUCCCAAGUGAGAGAAAAUGCAGGGAAUUUGAACACACCUAUCACCACACAUCUGUGUUACGAAAAGUAGGAUAGCAAGCCCUACUGGAUCAGAUGCAAGGCCCAUCCAGGGAGUGUCUUGUUUCUUCAACAAUCACUCAGUAGUCUUUUAUGGUCCCAAAGCUGGUAGUUGGUGGNGGACUGUCUCCAGAGCUGGUGUUUUUAUUUAGUGAUGAUAANUAGACAUCACCAAUAGCCUGCACGCCUUUACUCUUUUCCCUGGAAGAAAACUCGGGUGAACGAAAAACGGACAGAGAAGCAAGGAUUCCUAAUUGACAGAGAUUUGUUCUGUGCUACGAGAAUUGUUCCAGACUGAAGUAAACUGUGGACCAAACAUGGAAUUUUUUGUUCAUGCACAUCCCCAGGAGCUCACCUUUUACGGAACGGAGGAUGGAAGGGCUGGUCAGGUGGCAGCUGAUGGAGGAAACGGAUUGUACCAGAUGCUGGGCACGACUGUUAUGUGUGAUCCAUCGCAUCGUGUGGCUGGNGCUUUGUUUAUUUUUCAAUCUCGGGGCGGCUCCAGGAGGCUCCUCGGAGGGCUUGCUGUAAUUAUGACGGCCACAGAAUUAUUAUCGGGCACUUCCUCCACCACAUUCCCAGAUCUUUCUUUGAUCUGCAGGGACUCACGCUCACCCUGGGGAUUUUGGCCAGAGGCUCAGUCGCGUCGGAUGCUGCCUUCCUUUUCCCCUUCCCAUCCGAGGGUCUCCUAG
This 886-nucleotide long non-coding RNA is filed under the name Salvator merianae (Argentine black and white tegu). RNAcentral's name for it is "lncRNA (ENSSMRG00000015541.1)". The record is from RNAcentral. Lineage: Eukaryota; Metazoa; Chordata; Lepidosauria; Squamata; Teiidae.